Molecule: long non-coding RNA, 751 nt
Filed under: Homo sapiens (human)
Lineage: Eukaryota; Metazoa; Chordata; Mammalia; Primates; Hominidae
Description: non-protein coding lnc-INTS2-4:1
Source: RNAcentral
GGGAAGAUGAUUCUUUAGCUGCAGUAGAAGUUCUUGUUGCUGGUGUCCGAAUGAUCUACCCAGCAUGCUUUGUUCUAGUCCCUCAGUCAGACAUUCCUACUCCUAGCCCUGUGGGAUCCACUCACUGUUCAUCUUCUUGCUUGGGUGUCCACCAAGUGCCUGCUUCCACAAGAGAUCCUGCUAUGUCUUCGGUUACGCUUACACCACCUACGUCUCCUGAGGAAGUCCAAACAGUUGAUCCUCAGUCUGUCCAGAAGUGGGUCAAAUUUUCUUCAGUAUCUGAUGGCUUCAACUCCGAUAGUACUAGCCACCAUGGUGGGAAAAUACCCAGAAAAUUAGCAAAUCAUGUGGUGGAUAGAGUUUGGCAAGAAUGCAAUAUGAACAGAGCACAGAACAAGAGGAAGUAUUCUGCUUCAUCAGGUGGUCUAUGCGAAGAAGCGACAGCUGCUAAAGUGGCAUCCUGGGAUUUUGUUGAAGCCACACAAAGAACAAAUUGCAGUUGUUUGAGGUAGAUUAUUUCCCGAUCGAUUGAUGCCUAUGUGUGAUAGUUUGUUACGCCACUGAAUGCUUAUGCCCACUUUAUUUGAAACAGCUUACAUGAACAUAUGUCAGGAUUUUUUUUCAAAAGAAAAUUCAGGAAAAAUAUUUCAGGAAUUUGAAGCUGAUUAUAGAAGUACAUGUAAAUAUAAGCUUUCAGUUCAUUCACUGUUACCAGAGGCAGACUCUGAAAGUUUUGUUUCCUAGUAGCUAA